This 250-nucleotide ribosomal RNA is filed under the name uncultured bacterium. RNAcentral describes it as "partial 16S ribosomal RNA". It matches the Rfam family "Bacterial small subunit ribosomal RNA", at positions 524 to 773 of the family's 1533-position model. The record is from RNAcentral.
UACGUAGGUGGCAAGCGUUGUCCGGAAUUAUUGGGCGUAAAGGGCGUGUAGGUGGAUUUUUAAGUCUUGUGUCUAAGUGCGGUGCUCAACGCCGUAUGGGCGCAGGAAACUGGAGAUCUUGAGUGCAGGAGAGGAAAGUGGAAUUCCCAGUGUAGCGGUGAAAUGCGUAGAUAUUGGGAGGAACACCAGUGGCGAAGGCGACUUUCUGGACUGUGUCUGGCACUGAGGCGCGAAAGCCAGGGGAGCGAAC